Long non-coding RNA from Pavo cristatus (Indian peafowl), 2432 nucleotides. NCBI's taxonomy places the organism in Eukaryota, Metazoa, Chordata, Aves, Galliformes, Phasianidae. The record is from Ensembl.
CCUAUUGGCUGUGCAUGAGGGCUAAUUUGCAUACGAGGGGCGGGGUUGGUGCGUCACCGCGGAGGGGCGGGGCUGCCUCCUACUCGCUGGUAUGGCGGCGCGGUGUGCGUGUGGUCUGGGUGCUUUGGUUGUAGGAUGCCCCGGGCUGUGGGGUGCUCUAUCUAUAAGGUGCUUUGGUGAUAGGAUGCUCUGGCUAUAGUAUAUGCCAGCUGUAGGAUGCUCCAGCUUAAAUAGAAGUUCUUGAUUCUCAGGGUAAUGUGCGCACUGGAACGUUCUGCAUAGGAAUUGCGGGUGCCUUAUCCCUGGGGGUGCACAGGGCCGUGCUGGGUGGGGCACCGGCAGCCGGGUCUGGUGGGUGCCAAGCAGCUCAUGGCAGGGAGUUGGAACUUGACUUUAGGGUCCCUUCCAACCCAACCGUUCUGUGCUUCUGUUUGGCUACAGGGUACCUUGACCGUAGGGCUGUAGUACAGGGAGCUGCUGCUGGGGACGGUAUCGGAGCUGAGGGGCUGUGACGUGGGGUGCACGUCCCUGGGGGCAGCUCCCAGCGGUGGGGCAGCUCCAGCCGCAGCAGCAGUGUUGUUUCAGACCGACCUCUCGUUGCUUUGCUCUGGGUUUUCACCAAAGCAACGUUUGAGGUGAUCAGAAGUGGGGAAGGAUCCGGGAGCAGCCCAACCACCGUCCUCGCCAUGGGGCUGGGAGGCUCCUGCGGCGCCGGAGAGACCGUGCGCCCUAAGGCAGACUGUGACUUGUUGUGGUGGGAUGAGCCAUACAACAACAAAAUCACUAGUCUUCCAGAGGGCACCGCGGCCAUCCUCGUCCCGUGAGCACCGCGCAGAUGUCACCCACCACUGUGGGGGUGCAGGAUGAGUGUCCUCGCCCUCUGCCCUACCUCUUUUCUGCUCUGUUCUGCCCAGUUGGAAAAGCGUGCUUGGAGCAUCAUCCUUGUGGAGGACUUCAGUGCACUGAACUGCAGAGCCCCAGUGUUGGGGGGAUCCUGGAGCUGGAUCACCUUCUGAACUUCUUCGUGGCAAACCUCAUCUCUUUACUCAGCUGAUAGCCUUUUGGGACCUGGCUAAAAGCUUCUCCAUCCUUCGAUGUGAAGGGUGUCCUGCAGGCUACGGAGGUGCUGAGGCUUAGCGCUGUGGUCAGCUCUUGGCUGGUCCAGGGUCUUUGGGGAAGGUGAAUCCGGGGAACGAUGCUACCAUGCAGUGUCCGUCCUUUUCCUUCUGCUUCUCCCCCAGCCAACACAAAGAGCUCGGCACCAGCAGCCCUGCAAAUUCCUGCUGUUCAAAAAGUCAUGUAAUGGGCAACUGACCUCUGGGAGAUGGUUUGUGAAUUGGUUGAAAUAACAGGCCUGGCUCUCUUCUGGGAAGCUACAUGGAGGUCAGCCUUGAAGAAAAGAGCAGUACAGCAGCUCCAAGCAUUAGCAAGAAGAAAUAACUGAAGCAGAGAGACUUGAACGUAAUUACAGCCUAAGAGCUGCGAUGGGAACUCAGCGAUCUGAGCCCAUCUCCUGGACUUCAGUGCAAUCAACAGAUGGACACCACCAGCUCAUGAAGGCUGGUUUCUGGAAGCCGUGCAAUGGUGCUGAAUGCCAGAGCAGGUGGAGAAGCAAUGCAGGUGGCUGUUCCAAAGGCUGGAGCUAGGAAAGGGUCUCAAAUGCCAUGGAAGAAGCAGAUGGAGGCAACCACUGGAACGCUCCGUGCUUAAUUGAGGGCACCAGCAAGGGUGAGCACGAGGUGGCUGCCCACCACCAGGAUGCUCUGCUGCUGCCAUGUGAGUCGCUGUCAUUAGGACCAGGAAUGGAGUUUAUAGCUGAGUAACCACAACAACUUUGCACAAAUUAAACAACAUACUGCAGGUUAAUUAGAUUUCUUACUGCUGCCUCAAUUAACUUAGCCCCGUCAUCUGCUGUCAGAAGUGGAUGGAGACCCUUUGAAAUUCAUGGGCUCUAUCGCUGGGAGGUGGGAAUGGCAAAACCUCUCCCUGGGCAACCACACCUCUGAGUGAUAUGUUUGUCUGGAUGGGUGAUGCCAUCUUCUGUGCUUAGAAACCCCUUUGUGUGGCAGGGGAGAGCAGCAGGAGAUGCGCUUGUCCUCCACCAAGCACAGUGACCAAGGAGGAUUUCCCCUGUGGCGUUUCAAGCUCACCUUGUCAUAAGGCAAUCUUAAAAAAAAAAAAAAAAAAGAAAAACAUAUCUGGAGGAAAAGUCUUUUUUUUUUUAAUCAUUCCACACAACGCUGUGUGAAUGCAAAUAAAUAAAAGGGCCCCCUAUGAAAACAUCUGAGAAUGCUGGUUUGUAUUUUUAAACCAAUUUCCUUCGACUGUGUCAGGGCCUGUUUUGUGUUUGCUCGACAAUUAUGUGGCUAAUGAGGACAGCCACAGCUACAUUAGGCAGGAUUAGGAAGAAUAAGGCUACAAAUGCUUCAGUG